GGGUCAGUAGGUUGGUCGUGCCACCGGUACGUACUGGUCUCACUGAUUCCUCCUUCCUGAAGAACCGUAAUGCCAUUAAUUUGGUGUUGCGGGGAAACAGGACUGUUACUUUGAAAAAAUUAGAGUGUUUAAAGCAAGCUAACGCUUGAAUACAUUAGCAUGGUAUAAUGAAAUAGGACGAUCGAUCCUAUUUUGCUGGUUUCUAGGAUUGACGUA
This 216-nucleotide ribosomal RNA is filed under the name Glomeromycotina sp. RNAcentral's name for it is "partial small subunit ribosomal RNA". The stretch from base 40 to 216 matches the Rfam family "Eukaryotic small subunit ribosomal RNA", at positions 686 to 864 of the family's 1831-position model. Lineage: Eukaryota; Fungi; Glomeromycota. The record is from RNAcentral.